RNAcentral lists this ribosomal RNA (429 nucleotides) under bacterium. RNAcentral's name for it is "partial 16S ribosomal RNA". It matches the Rfam family "Bacterial small subunit ribosomal RNA", at positions 355 to 776 of the family's 1533-position model. The record is from RNAcentral.
UAGGGAAUCUUCCACAAUGGACGCAAGUCUGAUGGAGCAACGCCGCGUGAGUGAAGAAGGUUUUCGGAUCGUAAAGCUCUGUUGUUGGUGAAGAAGGAUAGAGGCAGUAACUGGUCUUUAUUUGACGGUAAUCAACCAGAAAGUCACGGCUAACUACGUGCCAGCAGCCGCGGUAAUACGUAGGUGGCAAGCGUUGUCCGGAUUUAUUGGGCGUAAAGCGAGCGCAGGCGGAAUGAUAAGUCUGAUGUGAAAGCCCACGGCUCAACCGUGGAACUGCAUCGGAAACUGUCAUUCGGGAGUGCAGAAGAGGAGAGUGGAAUUCCAUGUGUAGCGGUGGAAUGCGUAGAUAUAUGGAAGAACACCAGUGGCGAAGGCGGCUCUCUGGUCUGCAACUGACGCUGAGGCUCGAAAGCAUGGGUAGCGAACAGG